RNAcentral lists this long non-coding RNA (3416 nucleotides) under Lathyrus oleraceus (garden pea). RNAcentral's name for it is "Pisum sativum (pea) long non-coding RNA (PSAT_LNC019435)". Lineage: Eukaryota; Viridiplantae; Streptophyta; Magnoliopsida; Fabales; Fabaceae. The record is from RNAcentral.
UAUAAAAAAAUAACACUCUCUAAGCGUUCUCUCUCUCUCUACAACUUUCAAGUCAUCCUCUUCAUCGACCUUCCGGAGGGCGGCGACCACUAGCGUGUGCCACCGUCAAGUAUAAAAGCUUUAGAUAUGAACCCUAACCCUCUUCGUAUCCCCUCUACGAAUCUAAAACCCUUUCACCAAUCGAAAAAACAAUUAACGGGAUCGGUCUUUUCAGAAAACCAAUAUUCUCAUCACGUUUUAAUCACACCCUAAACCAACCAAAAAUUAGAGUUAUCCACGAUUCAAGAAGAAACAAGCAUGAACAAAUCAAAAGGUGUUCCAAUCAUAUUUAGUCAUAGGUCUCAGAAUCAACGGCGUGCGACAAAGUAAAGUUGCAGAUCGAGUUACAUAUAAUGAAGUUUAAAGCGAGAGAGAAAAAACUACCAAUAUGUUCAGGUGAAAGUUUGUUUCCUUGCCCUUGUUGUCUCUUUUUUCGUAUUCAGUUAGNUCAACAGUAUCGCCAGCCGAAUUUAUUUAUUCCAAUGAAGGAAUAGGAAAAUAUCGAUAAACCUUUAAAAAAUAGAAUAAUGGUCGUCGCAACAUAUUCGGGUUCGGAGUCGAUUACGCAAGGGGAAGGUAUUAGCACCCCUCACGUCCGUUGUACUCAACGGAACCUUUUAGUCUAAUUUGCUAUUUGAAUGUUAGUUAACUGUUAUUCGUUUCUUCGAGUGAUUAGAAUUGGUAAUAGAGAUGGAUGAAGACCUCAGAAUGGAAAAAGGGAGGUUUUUUAUUAGUGUGCUCGCGAAGAUACAGCAAUCUCCUGCUACGUAUCCUUAUGGUGCAAUAAGGAAAUCAGAGCAUUCGUAGUUCAGGAAACUACGGUUUUUGUUAGUGUCCUUUUAUGAACGACUGUGUAGAUCGCGUUCUAAAGGCUAAACGCUGGCUGUCUACUCUGGCGGAGCUUUAAGCGUUGGUUUGUUAUGCGCAUUAGAAAGGAUUAAUAGUAUUCUUCUGAAAGGAAUUUUAAGUUGUGGCCGCCCAGUGGCGAGAGAUUAAUUUGAUUUGUUAAGGUGUUUUAAGAACGACAAAGAUGAGCAAUGUGGUGUACACCAAUCGUUCAAUUCUUUCGAGGAGUACUAAGGCGUACGCCUUUUUCUCCUUUUCGUUCGAUUAUUUAAGGUUUGUUUGUGAUGUUGAAUAUGCAUGGUAGUGAGGCGUACGCCUUCUACUUGACUUAUUCAAAGGAUAAUGAGCGUACGCCACUUAUUCCUUUAUCCAAGUUUAUUUAGCGAUUUAGUCGGAAGUCGAUAAUUUGCUGCAUAUGGCGUACGCCAAUUAUUCAAUAAUCGAGAGAUGCGAGGCGUAUGCCUCUAUCUCCUAUCACCCGAGGUUUAAAUUGUGAAAGAUAUGUUUAGAUGUUUGGUAUGUGAUUUGCGAAAAAUAGUUUGGAUUUAUUCGAUGUGUUUUUAAUUUGAUGACGAGAUUCGAGCAUAUGGCGUACGCCAUUAUUCGAAUAAUCGAGAGAUAAUAAAGCGGAAGUUACUAUUCUCUUUUCAUUCAAAAUUAAUUAUUAAAAACAGCUUUUAGAAUUAAUAAAUAAUCUGGAGGGUAAUUUGAUUUAUGGAGUUUUAAGUGUUAAUUAAAUGACAAAAAAUUCGAGCAAUAUGGCGUCGCCAAUUAUUCGAAUAUCGAGAGAUAAUAAAGCGGAAGCUUAUUAAUCUCCUUUUCAUUUAAAUUAAUUAUUUAUAUGCUUUAGGAUUUGUAAUUAAUUGAGAAAAUAAUUUUUAAUUUUAUAGAGUUUUAAGGUGUUAAUUAAAUGACAAAAUUCGAGCAAUAUGGCGUACGCCAAUUAUUCGAAUAAUCGAGAGAUAAUAAAGCGGAAGCUUAUUAAUCUCCUUUCAUUUAAAGAUUAAUUAUUAAAAUAGAGACUUUUGGAAUUUGUAAUUAAUUUAGAAAAUGUGAUUUGAGUUAGAAAUUAUUUGACUUUUAGAAUUUAUAUUUGAUUUGAAAAAUUGAUUUGGAAUUGUAUGAUUAAGGUUUAAUCCGAUGACAAAAACUCGUGCAAUAUGGCGUACGCCAAUUAUUCGAGUAAUUGAGAAAUAGUGAAGCGGACGCUUCCUAUAUUCUUUUUCAUCCAAGUUUUAGAAUUAGAAAGUUUUAAUCAGAAAAAAAAAAAUUGAAUUGCACGAUGAAGUACUCGCUCGAAUUUGAAAAGGUUACUUUUUUUAUUUAAGAUUUUAACUUAACAAAUAAUCCAUCUUAAUUACCAAUUAUUCUUGUAAUGUUUAAGGUAUGCAAUAUUAUAAGACAUGGUGAGAAAUAGACUAUUUAUCCAAGUAGAAUUAUUUAAUUAUGUAUCUAUUAAUUUAGCUUACCAUACUUAAUCGAUAUAACUAAAUAAAAACAAAUUAAUCAAUUUAACUAAACCUAAUUUACUAAAUUGGUUAAAGAGUUUCACUAAAAUAAUGAUCAUAUGAAAAAAACAAAUAGAAAUAAAUCUAAAGAUGGGCCUAACUAGCCCACAAGCAGGGGUGCAGAUGCUGGAUGUGCUUGGUCUUAGAAACCCGAAUGGGCUGGGAGCUUAAAGGCCCAAAUAAUUAAAAAAAAAAAGAAAAAUUAUUCAUGAUGAUAAGAAAGGAAGUGGAAUUCCCACGUACUGACCGUUGUAUUCUUGAAAAUGGAAACGUUGAGUCAUUGUUCAUAAAAGUGUAUCAAGUGGCUUUAAUAGCCACCAUUAUUUAAAACAAUAUAUUUCUAUUAAUUAAGAGCCACCAUUAUUUAAAACAAAAUAUUUCUAUUAAUUAAGAGCCACCAUUAUUUAAAAACAAUAUAUUUCUAUUGAUGGAAUCAAGAUAUUAUUUAUCCAUCAAAUAUAAAAAAAUAACACUCUCUAAGCGUUCUCUCUCUCUCUCAACAUUUCAAGUCAUCCUCUUCAUCGACCUUCGCCGGAGAGGGGCGGCGACCACUAGCGGUGCCACCGUCAAGUAUAAAAGCUUUAGAUAUGAACCCUAACCCUCUUCGUAUCCCCUCUACGAAUCUAAAACCCUUUUCACCAAUCGAAAAAACAAUUAACGGGAUCGGUCUUUUCAGAAAACCAAUAUUCUCAUCACGUUUUAAAUCACACCCUAAACCAACCAAAAAUUAAGAGUUAUCCACGAUUCAAGAAGAAACAAGCAUGAACAAAUCAAAAGGUGUUCCAAUCAUAUUUAGUCAUAGGUCUCAGAAUCAACGGCGUGCGACAAAGUAAAGUUGCAGAUCGAGUUACAUAUAAUGAAGUUUAAAGCGAGAGAGAAAAAACUACCAAUAUGUUCAGGUGAAAGUUUGUUUCCUUGCCCUUUGUGUCUCUUUUUUCGUAUUCAGUUAGAUUCUGAUCUCCUUCUCUGUUUCCUUGUCGUUGCUGCUUGUAUGUUGUUGAGGGGUGGUGGCUCUUUAGCUCA